GCGGAUGUAGCUCAAUGGUAGAGCCCCAGCCUUCCAAGCUGGCCAUGCCGGUUCGAUCCCGGUCAUCCGCUCCA
RNAcentral lists this transfer RNA (74 nucleotides) under Actinomycetes bacterium. RNAcentral describes it as "Actinobacteria bacterium tRNA-Gly". It matches the Rfam family "tRNA". From Rfam's summary of the family: Transfer RNA (tRNA) molecules are approximately 80 nucleotides in length. Their secondary structure includes four short double-helical elements and three loops (D, anti-codon, and T loops). RNAcentral also lists the same sequence under 3 other names. Lineage: Bacteria; Bacillati; Actinomycetota; Actinomycetes. The record is from RNAcentral.